CCUACGGGAGGCAGCAGUGGGGAAUAUUGGACAAUGGGGGCAACCCUGAUCCAGCCAUGCCGCGUGUGUGAAGAAGGCCCUCGGGUUGUAAAGCACUUUCAGUGAGGAAGAACGCCUGGUAGUUAAUACCCAUCAGGAAAGACAUCACUCACAGAAGAAGCACCGGCUAACUCCGUGCCAGCAGCCGCGGUAAUACGGAGGGGGCGAGCGUUAAUCGGAAUUACUGGGCGUAAAGCGCGCGUAGGUGGCUUGAUAAGCCGGUUGUGAAAGCCCCGGGCUCAACCUGGGAACGGCAUCCGGAACUGUCAAGCUAGAGUGCAGGAGAGGAAGGUAGAAUUCCCGGUGUAGCGGUGAAAUGCGUAGAGAUCGGGAGGAAUACCAGUGGCGAAGGCGGCCUUCUGGACUGACACUGACACUGAGGUGCGAAAGCGUGGGUAGCAAACAGGAUUAGAUACCCUUGUAGUC
Molecule: ribosomal RNA, 465 nt
Filed under: Vreelandella stevensii
Lineage: Bacteria; Pseudomonadati; Pseudomonadota; Gammaproteobacteria; Oceanospirillales; Halomonadaceae
Description: partial 16S ribosomal RNA
Rfam family: Bacterial small subunit ribosomal RNA
Source: RNAcentral